RNAcentral lists this ribosomal RNA (791 nucleotides) under uncultured bacterium. Its description in RNAcentral is "bacterial SSU rRNA". It matches the Rfam family "Bacterial small subunit ribosomal RNA", at positions 54 to 839 of the family's 1533-position model. The record is from RNAcentral.
CCUGCAGUCGACGGGGUGGAGGGGCAACUCUCCAUUCAGUGGCGAACGGGUGAGUAAUGCAUCGGAACGUGCCUCGUAGUGGGGGAUAACCCGGCGAAAGCCGGGCUAAUACCGCAUAUGCUCUGUGGAGGAAAGUGGGGGACCUGCAAGGGCCUCACGCUAUGAGAGCGGCCGAUGUCCGAUUAGCUUGUUGGUGGGGUAAUGGCCUACCAAGGCGACGAUCGGUAGCUGGUCUGAGAGGAUGAUCAGCCACACUGGGACUGAGACACGGCCCAGACUCCUACGGGAGGCAGCAGUGGGGAAUUUUGGACAAUGGGGGCAACCCUGAUCCAGCCAUGCCGCGUGCGGGAAGAAGGCCUUCGGGUUGUAAACCGCUUUUAGUCGGGAAGAAAAGGCGCAGGACAAUACCCUGCGUUCUUGACGGUACCGGCGGAAUAAGCACCGGCUAACUACGUGCCAGCAGCCGCGGUAAUACGUAGGGUGCGAGCGUUAAUCGGAAUUACUGGGCGUAAAGCGUGCGCAGGCGGUUCGUUGUGUCCGAUGUGAAAGCCCCGGGCUUAACCUGGGAAUGGCAUUGGAAACUGGCGAGCUUGAGUGCGGCAGAGGGGGGUGGAAUUCCGCGUGUAGCAGUGAAAUGCGUAGAGAUGCGGAGGAACACCGAUGGCGAAGGCAGCCCCCUGGGUCGACACUGACCCUCAGGCACGAAAGCGUGGGGAGCAAACAGGAAUUAGAUACCCUGGUAAUCCACGCCCCUAAACAAUGUGAACUGGGGUGUUGGGGAAGCCGAUUUC